AGCUGCAACACCAUCGGAGAUGUUUCAUCAGUUGAGCACCUCACCACUUCGUUCAGCGUUUCAUAUGCAGCAGUCCUCAACCGGGAUUCCCCAGCAUCUUCUCUGUGAGUAACAGUUAGAAGAGCAUGCACAAUUUCCUGGAAAUAAGGUGUCAAGGGAGAUGAUGGGCCUGAAUCCUCAUAACCUUGGGCAAGGAAAUACAGGGCACCGCAUGCCUUCUCAGCCACAUUUGGAGCAUCCUUCAUGCUUUGGAGAAGAACUGUUAUAAUCUGUUGGCAAUUUGCUUGAGUAAUUAUGGGUGUAUCCAAAGUUGAACCAUGAAGGAAUUCAAAGAUUCGUCCCAAAGUCCAAGCAGUGGUAUCUUUAACAUGGCUAUUUGGGUCCUUUGUCAAAGCAGUAAGCAUGAAAUUCAAAGCGACAUUAACAAUAGGUGUCAACUUGUCAGGUGAAGGACCCUCCAAGAUUGAGCCAAAAGCAUAUGUGGCUGCCUCCCUUUGCCUCCAAUCUGGUUUUGUUAUAUUUUCUUCAAUGAAUGGCAUAACAAGUGGCACAAUGUCAUCUCCCACAGUCCUUGCAACCAAGCCAAGGCAUGUCCCCCCUGCCAUUGCAAUGUUCCAAGCCCCUUCAUCCUGAUCUUGAUCCUCCUCUUGCUUAAGGAGAGUCUCCAACAACAUUGGGACGAGAGCAGGGAGAGCCUGCUUGAUAAAAUAAAAACAAGGAAUGUCAGAAUCCCCAGGGAAAUCACCACCAUAUUCUUCCAAGAUGUCUAUCUCUUCGUCACAGAUUGAACUCCAAAACUCAAUUGCCUGGAGAGCCACAGGUUCCUCAUCUUCCCUCACAGCCUUUGCUGUAAUACUAAAGAUGUCCUGCAUAUAAGGAGCUAAUUUCUCAUAAUACAUUGACGAAAUAGAGACCAAACAUUCAAAAGCCGCUUGCCUAAUCUUCACUUCUGGAGACAAAGUCGCCUCACAGACAACUCUCAUGAUGUAAUCGCGCUCCAUAUUAUUGCUAAAAUUUGCUUGAGCAAAGCCUAGAGCGUUGUACAAUGCUCGAGCGGCAGCAAGCCUCACAUCAUUGUUUCCUUCAGAUGCAUUCAUACCUUGAACUACAGCAGUCAGAAUUUUAUUUACUUGAUCUUGAUCCACAACAUCAGGAGAGAUUUCCUCGCACAAAUAUCCAAGAGUCUCCAAUGUUGCUUGCUUAACAUGUGCCAGUAGCUGAUGAAUAUUGGACAACAGGGAUCCUAUUAACUCAGGCCAUUGUUUCUGGGGCAGCUCAAUGCCAGCAACCUUGGCAAUUACUUGUGAAGCAGUUGAUCGAGCAUCAGACACUGGAGAAGAGAGUGUCUUUAGCAAGCAUGUUUUUAUCUGGCUCUUGAUAGCAGCAUCCAAUGACAACCAUCUCUGAACAAGCUCAAAUUUUCUAUGUUGUUCCUUGGCAUCCAAGGCAUUCUUUAGAAUCAGACCGGCUAAUUUACGACUAUCAACAGGUUUUUCGUCAUUAGCUAGCUCUCCAGACAGUGAUAACAGAAAAAGAGGCAGAUUUUGCUCUUGAAACUGUUUCAAGCUUUCCUCUGCAUGCUUCCGCACAUUUCCAUCUAUUGAUUGUGCAUUCAAAAGCACCUCGGUAACCUCCAUUGCCAUAGUGUAUCUGAAAGAAUCAAACAUGAAUACUCAGACUCAUGCAGAGUUGCAUCUUACUACGUCCAUGUAAAAUAUAACGUCCACAUAUGAUAUAGUUCCUCAACUCAACCUCACAGCAUAUCCAAUAAUCAAAUCAGAAAUUUAAAGAACACAAAGGCACCAAAUAUUUCACAUAGACAUAAAAGAACAAGAAGCAAUAAAAAGGAUAAAAGAAAAAUGAAAGGUGAAAACUUCCACUAUAUAUAUAUAUAUACACACACACACAAAAAAAAAAAAAAAAAAAAAAAAAAAAAAAAAAACCUCUUCACCCUAUGACCAAGACUCCUUAAACAGAUUUAUUCAGUCAACUUGGUUCCUUGGAUUGUUCAAUUAUUGUUCUCAAUAAUCAAUCAGAAAACGGAAAAACUGGAAAUGUUAAAGACCAUUUUCCAGCAUUCUCAAUUAGAUCCAAAACAAACAAAAACAGGUUAACAUACUAACUCGAACUUAAAAUAAAUGAAAUUAAGAUCUCCGAACAAAAGCCAAAUACAAUAUAUCAUCAAAUCACUUAAUUGAGCAACAGUAUUAAGCAAAGCACUGUUUGAGGUCCAUAACUACAUUGAAACUAGGGUCUAUAAACAUAUAACCAAAAAAACACUGAAGUAAACAAAUCAGUGGCAUCACUCACAAUUGAGCAUUCCACUUAAAAAAUUUAUACCAAUCAGGAAAAAGACAACGAAAAUCAUAUUAACAUCAACAGCCACCAACCAAACCCGGAGAAACAACUGGAUCAAAUUCCAAAAAAGUUCAAUGAAGCAUUACAGGACAACAGAUCAUCAAUAUUAUACAUUGAAAACAGGAUUCGAAGACUGAAAGAAAUGGCAAUAAGAUUCCAAAAUCAAUUAUUCAAAUCAAACAGAAUAAGAAACCUAAACAGCGACCAUACCUACCUGAGAGUGUUACAAAAUUAGAUAAUAGGAAAUAGAGAAAAUAUCGGAGAGAAAGAAACGGCCCACUCCAACCCUAGCAGACAGUGAAAAAGGAGGAGGAGGAGACGAAGGAAGGAGAAGACGGACGUGAAGCAAAACUUGAAUUAACGCAAAUCAAAGAAAAAAAAAAAAUUAUUCUCAUAUUUGGGGAAUUGUUGAUUACUACACGCUUCACCGUAUGAGUGCUUAUAGGGUCCCACUUUGCGGUUGGAUAUGAAUCGAUCAUGGGCUGAAAAGGGCCCUAACGAAUAAAAUUGUUCUUAACUUCUUCUGUUCUGUAGAGUAAAUGAUCGUACCGUAGGAUCAGUCACCGCUCGACGGAGGAAAAAGCAAAGUUUUACGUGGGGUCCCAUUUGUACAAUUUGACAUUGGUCAACGGAUCCCGUGGUUAAUAUUAUUAUCCGUUGAUUUCUGGUCUUUUGGACCGUACUUGCAACUCAUCAUGUUAUAUUGGGCUUUAAAACAAUUCAAACUACAUGAACUUGAGUUUAAUUUAAUAGAACUUUUCGAUUCAAACUCAUUAUCCACAGCUUGUAACAAAAAUAAUUUAUAGAGUGAUAUAAUAAAAAUUAUUAUUCUUCUUUAUAUUUUGUAAGAUUUGUUAUGAAUAGAAAUUCAAUAAAUGAAAAGAAAUUUUUUAGAAAUAAUUACUAUUUGAUCUCUAAAUUUUUCUUAAAUAGAACCGUAAUUAUUUCGGUUUUCAAAAUCACAUUAUAUAAUACAGUCUUGUAUUAUAAUUUUCGUUACUUUAUAAGGUUUAAGUGUUCGUUUUUUUUGUUAAAUGACUGCAAAGUGUUAAAAGUAUUUAUAAAAAUAAUUACUAUAUAGUCCUUAGAAUUUGGUGCAAUACUCUAGUAAAGACCUCAAUUUUCACAAUUUUAACUAUUUAAUCUCUAUAUAAGUAAUUCUCCUUGAGAGUAUUUUUGAUAUUUCACAAUCACUUAAAAAAAAUAUUUCACAGUCACUCAACAAAAAAAUAACCGUUGGACUUCAUGCUUGAAAAAUUCUUUUGAAUUAAUUUAUGAGCUUUUCAUAUUAUAAAUAAAAAAACACUCCUGAUAUUAAAGUUGAAAGACCAUUAUUCUUUCUCAAAAACAAAAAAGACCAAUUUAAAAGGAAAAAAAAAUAUAUAUAAUUAUUAAAAAUAAAAAUGUAAAAAAUAACAUUAAUUUAUGCUCAUAGGCAUUUCUUUAUUCACUUAAACAUAGGCUACGUUUUAGCCUUGCAAUUACAAAAAGCAGAAUAGUUAUCCCAGUCAAUCUGAACCAGCUUGUUAUGCAACUAAAGAUAUCACAUUCAUGGAUAGUUUGAUAGAUGCUCAAGAUAAUUUCUGGCAGCAUGAUUAGCGCAUGCCACUUGGGCAGAUUAGAAAUUACAGGUAGGAAACAGGUAGAUUGAAUUGAAAUUCGCAGUCUACAAAAUACCAAAAAGUUGGUUACCUGUUAUACAGUGGAAAUCUAUUUGAACAAAAUGAAAAAAAAAAAAAAAACAAAGGAGCAAAUAUAAAAUUUCCAAGAACCGAAAAAUAUAGAACAGGAAAAAACAAAUCAAAGGAUCAACAAGACGCAUAGCCUGCACCCCAACCAAUACUCACAGGCCCAAAAAUGAACCAUGCAACAAAAUAUAAUUGCACUACGUCUUGCUCCUUGUGAGAAUCAAUCUCCAGAGAUGAAGACAUUUUAGUAUAAUAAUCUUAUCUACAAUCCCAAAACAUUACACAUUCUUUUUUGACAAAAACGAAGAGACUUUGUAUUUGAGAAAACGGGGAAAGAAAAUAAGUAUAUAUGAUUUAAUGAAUGCAGAAUGACUGACUUGGGAUCUAUGAGAACAGAAUAAAAGAAAAAUGAAUAAUGCAAUGCAGGACGCAACUCCCUCAAUUAUAAAAUGUUGAAGACCCCCCAAUCGAGUAUACCGAAAGAGUGUGCGAUAGUUAAAAUACAACCUGACCAUGACAGACAUAAUGAUGAACUAAUACAAGACAUCAUUGAAUGAAAUAUGAAAAGGGGCAAAAAAAAUCAUUAAUGAAUUGAGGGUCUUCUAAAAUGCGGCACUUGGGUGGUCUUCAAGUGUCACAAAACUUCAACAGACUCCCUGCAGCCCUCCACUCCCACAACCUAGAGGUACUUCAGAGACAACCACCGAGACAGCAAUAGGUAGUCUGGUGAGAAGAGGUAUCACCAAUAAAUAGCAGCUGACAAAAUGCUACCUGACCUGUAUCUAUUCAGCAAACCAACGUUACCUCUCCCUCACUUGCAACGAUUCUGUAUGCUAUGGCCAACAUUUUUUUCUUAAACCUUUGAAACAAAUGCCUUUGCCCACACCUGCAACAUAAUCACUACCCAAUACCUCCAAUAGAACCACGAUGCUGAUGCAAUAGUUAGUGACAGCCUGAAGAUAACUAUCGUUAUCUGUUGAUGGCACGACCUGACACAAAUUCAACCCAGACCCCGACUCAAUACACCCAAAUGCAUGCAGGGAUUUGUAGAGGAAAAAAUGCCUGAGUAUGAACAACCUCAAACAGAAAUGGCACGGCUUAUGGCCAACUUGGCCCACUCAGCAGAUUCCUUAAUCAUAUGAUCUUCAGAAGAUAAACAUUCAUUUAAAAAGUCUUUGACAGUAAGAGAUUGUUGUAUCAAAGAACCAGCAUUACUUCCCAGUGUAUCUGCUAAAUCCCCAAGGACACCAAUGGCAGUUUUCAUAACCACAUCAUCCCUGUAAAACCGAUAGGUUACAGAAAGCCAUAAACCAUAGUGUUUAACAAUGCAUUUUGAAUAGAAAGGGGAAAAAAUUAGAGAAGAAGGGAUCAAACAUAAGACAGCAGAACUUACAUGUCUUUCUCCAUGUAUAUGCUAUCCAGGAACUGGAGCAUAUGGGGUGCAUAAGGAAUCAAAAGUUGCGUUUUAGGAGAGUUUUUAAACCCCUGAAGAAUUCCAGAAUAAGCCUCCAAAAUCCCAUUUCUCAGUGAAUUUGAAUAAUCAAUCAUCUCUUCAUCAGUGCCAGCUGUACGAGCAGACAACUCUGCAGCACUUUGAAGCAUGGGCAUGGCAUACAUCAAAUACUUCUCGAAAUUCUCUCCUAUUGCUAAGGCAAUGUCACCAAAGCAUGAGAAAAUGGGAGGCUUCACAGAUCGAUGCAACUGAUUGCUGGAUAAAUCCUUCAGAAGUUGUGUCAUAAUCCCAUCACAAUAAGGCAAAACUUUAUCUUCUAUCGCCCUGCAGAUAUCCCCCACAACACCAACUGUAACAGCACACACUUGGUACUCCUCAAAAUUCUGAAGACCCAUUUCCAAAUAUUUAUAAAACUCUGCCAUGUAUUUUGCAAAAUCAGGACCAGAUGCAUAUGCAAGUGCUCCAAUGGCUAGCAUUGCCUCCUCAUGCACAGUUGCACUUCUGCAAGCAAAAACCCUCAGGAAAAGCCCCAUUAUUUGGUCUGCGUAUUGCAUGAACACAAUCUUAGUAGGCUCUGAUGAACCUAACUUCUGAAUGAUAACUUGUAAGCACCCACAAAGAAGCCCUUGCAACUCGCCCUGUUUCUCUCUCUCAUCAGAUCCAAGCUUCUGCCCUUCAAGAGUUUUGUGAAGCUCUGUCAUGAUGACUGGAACCAGCUGCAACACCAACGGAGCUGUUUCAUCAGUUGAGCACCUCACCACUUCGUUCAGCGUUUCAUAUGCAGCAGUCCUCAACCGGGACUCUCCAGCAUCUUCUCUGUGAGUAACAGUUAGAAGAGCAUGCACAAUUUCCUGGAAAUAAGGUGUCAAGGGAGAUGAUGGGCCUGAAUCCUCAUAACCUUGGGCAAGGAAAUACAGGGCACCGCAUGCCUUCUCAGCCACAUUUGGAGCAUCCUUCAUGCUUUGGAGCAGAACUGUUAUAAUCUGUUGGCAAUUUGCUUGAGUAAUUAUGGGUGUAUCCACAGUUGAACCAUGAAGGAAUUCAAAGAUUCGUCCCAAAGUCCAAGCAGUGGUGUCUUUCAC
RNAcentral lists this long non-coding RNA (6581 nucleotides) under Jatropha curcas. RNAcentral describes it as "long non-coding RNA (JCUR_LNC000687)". Lineage: Eukaryota; Viridiplantae; Streptophyta; Magnoliopsida; Malpighiales; Euphorbiaceae. The record is from RNAcentral.